AUUCACACUGGUGAAAAGCCAUUUUCAUGUGUGAACUGUGGAAAACGUUUUAGUGGAAAAUGGAAUUUAAUUCAGCACAUGAUUAUUCACUCUGGUGAAAAGCCAUUUUCAUGUGUGAACUGUGGAAAAGGUUUUAGUCGAAAACAGCAUUUAACUCUGCACAUGAGGAUUCACACUGGUGAAAAGCCGUAGAACUAUUUUCCAUGUAUAUCCUGUGUUGAGGUUCACUAUAAAAGUCAUUCAGAUGUAAACUGGCGUUAUACACUGAAGGGCUUUCUUGUCUAUAAAGUGGGAAAAUUGUAACAUUUUCUAAUUUGUUAAAUGUUAUAAUUCGGAUCUUGACAUUUUGAUAUUUAGAGAUGUACAAUAAGAACUUGAAGGAUUGAUUUGUAUUAUUCUGUGGGGAGACAAUAAGUGGGGUGAAGGAGAUUUACUUGAAUACAUUUUUAAUCCAAAAUAAAAUGUGCUGUCGUGGGAUUUUCAUUAAUUGUUUUGGACUUUGAAAUUUUCUGUAUUAAAAAAUUCUUUGUCUUUAAAACAGAGCCAUAAUGAAACUGAUGCUGUUAUUUGUUCCAAAUUAUAUUAACCAGUCUAUGUAAAAUAUUUUCAAAUAAAUUAACCUGCCCUUUUACUGAGAAAAUGCAAUAAACA
Long non-coding RNA from Poecilia latipinna (sailfin molly), 651 nucleotides. RefSeq lists it as uncharacterized. Lineage: Eukaryota; Metazoa; Chordata; Actinopteri; Cyprinodontiformes; Poeciliidae. The transcript is spliced from 3 exons. The record is from RefSeq and is a predicted model, not a curated record.